Cryptosporidium parvum Iowa II is the source of this 73-nucleotide transfer RNA. It matches the Rfam family "tRNA". Rfam says of the family: Transfer RNA (tRNA) molecules are approximately 80 nucleotides in length. The record is from Rfam. NCBI's taxonomy places the organism in Eukaryota, Apicomplexa, Conoidasida, Eucoccidiorida, Cryptosporidiidae.
GGGGAACUAGCUCAGAUGGUAGAGCGCUCGCUUAGCAUGCGAGAGGUGAUCGGAUCGAUGCCGGUGUUCUCCA